This 3189-nucleotide ribosomal RNA is filed under the name Triticum aestivum (bread wheat). RNAcentral describes it as "partial small subunit ribosomal RNA". The record is from RNAcentral. Lineage: Eukaryota; Viridiplantae; Streptophyta; Magnoliopsida; Poales; Poaceae.
AUGACAUCAUCUUCAUGGAAAAAAUGGCCGGAUCAUGAGUGGGAUAAAUGGUGUGAUGAUCUGAGGGAUAUAGAAUUUUGGUUUAACAGAUACCUGAAGACGAAGGCAUAUAUUGACUUGAACAAUCAACUGUUUCUCUAUCAAGGUGUGUGCUGGAAUGUUGGGGUGGGGCCCAUGGCUUCAUUCACACGAGCCAUAUCAGGCAUGGCCGUGGAGGAAAUCCUUGAGUACCCAUAUCAAGUAGAAUUCAAACACGUGAUAAAGGUGGAUCUGAAGCCCACGCCAACGGCAGAGGAAGCCCAAGGAAGGGGCUUCAUGAGCACCAAGUACCAGCUGGCCCUCGCUGCAGCAAAGGAGCUCGGCCUGCUCGACCAAGAAUACAACAGGCUCAAGGAAGAGCACGACGAGCUACAGUACUACUCCUACGGGUCCUGUGAUGGUGUUAUCUCUUCAGAUUUGGAGUAUCACGUGAGGUACAAUAUGGUUCCUCGGAUCAUCAAACAAUUGUUAACCGAGAGGUACUUGCUAGUGGCCGAGAACCUCCAGUGGCCAAUUGUGCCUGGCAGUUUAAUAAUAGAAGAUGUCGGGCUUCCUCCACCUACGUGGGGAGAUUCUCGAUGGUUCAUCUCGACCACUUCUCAUGAUGCCUACAAACAGAGCAAGUUAGAAGGCGAUAGAGUUAUAUCCAUUGACGAAGAUGACCAAGUUGUGGUACUGGCCCUCGAUGCACUGCAUCGAUCGGCCGAGCACAUACUCAGCAUGAUCCAUCAGGAAAGCAAGCAGUACUGGUAUUGCAUAGCCCUCGAUUGCUUCCACUACACCAUGGCUUUCUUUGGCAAGCAUUCACAAGUGAUAGAUGUUACGUCGGACGAGAUCAUCCACCAGUGGGCCGCCCAAGGCAUUUUGCCUCGUAUGACCAUGAAGGAAGAAGAAGAAACCAACACCAUCAGCAGCAAGUGUUCAAAUAUGCAUCGAGUUGGAAGGGUCAUCCUUGAAGCAUUUCAGAAAUACUCUUUGUUGCAGCUACCUUUUUCUCCGGUUGAUGAAGCUUAUGAAGCCACCAAUACCGGUGCACAAUUCUUAGCAUACCAUGGCCUCAUUGCAGAUGGCAUCACAGUUGAUGAAAUCGUUGAUGACAAGAAGAAAUGGAUUUCAUUCUCCGGUGACCAUGGAGUGCAUGUAAGCCGGAAAUGGUUUAUCCCAGAGGAAAGCAAGGGGCCAACUUCACUUAUUCUAAGAGGUUGCUCACAUCAAUCGCUCAUACUUUCCAAGCUGGACAGUUUCUUGCCCAUGCUUUGUUUUCUUCGUGUUCUUGAUAUCUCCUACACUCCAAUAAAAGCACUCCCUUCUUCUAUUGAUUAUCUACAGAACCUUCGGUUGCUCUCACUUAGAGGCUGCCAUGAUCUGAAAACUCUUUCCAGUUCAUCCACAACAAAUGCCACAGGCUCAUCAACAAAUAUUCGUUCAUCAUCACCAUUGUCCACUCUAUACAAGCUAGAAAUUCUUGAUAUGAAUGGUGUUCCUGUUUCUCAUCUGACACAAGAUGUGGCCAACCAAAAGAGAAAUUUGAUACACCUCGACAUGUCACAUUCAGAAAUAUCUACUUUUCCACCCAAUGUUUUUGGGGACAUGUCAAAUCUUGAAGAGCUUAUUCUUGUCAGCUGCUCCAACCUUGUAGAGCUACCUCCUUCUAUGUCUGCACUAUCCAGCCUAGCGACCCUUGAGGUCACAGGGACUCUAAUAAAAUACUUCCCGCAGAAGAUAUUUGAAGAAAUGCAGAAGCUACAGUCGCUCAAGCUCAUUGACAACAAUGAAUUGAUUUCACUCGCAAGUCCAAUCUCUGGUGUCCAGGGAAACAAAUUGGAAGGGCAUCCUAACCUUACAUCCUUCAUGUUGGUUGGCGCACCUCAUAUAAGGUGCCUGUCUCUGCGUGGAUGUAGAAAACUUGAGUCUGUCGAGAUAAAAAAUCUUGGUGCCUUGGAGGAGCUUGAUUUGUCCGGUAUAGCUAUCAAGGAGCUCCCUGCAGAUAUCCCUAACCUUCCCAAGCUCAGGCGAUUGCUCCUGCUGGAUGUUCCGUCUCUGAGGCGAUUUCCUUGGCAUAGGCUGGAGCGACUUCCUGAUGUGUUUUAUUUGGACCAUUGUUCAGAAGGAAAGGGUAACCACUCUAAUCAAGUUCCCCAAGUGUGUGUAACUGACCCCAGGUUCUUCCAUAGCUUCCAUAACACUGUUGUGGAUUUCGUAAGAGAUGGACGGUUUCUCCAAUCAUUCUAUGUUCGAGUCGCACCAUGCACUAAAAAUAGCAUGCGACUGCAAGAUGAAGAAGUCAUUCUCGAUAGCAAGUUGCAGGAGUUGGUGCAGAACCAAUCGACUUAUGUGGAUGUACAAAGGAGUUGUUAUGCGGAGGAAAUUGCAACUGCAUCACCGAUUACAAUUCCCCUUAGCCGAACUGAGCGCCACGUGGAGAUCACAGGGACACAAUCGGGAAUUGCUGGUUUAUGGUAUCUUCUAAGUGUCAGCAAAUCAAUAUCCGUGUCAUGUGAUACUGCUAUCAACUAUUUUCCUGGCGAGAUCAAUUUUCACGAGCUGGAAGAAUGUGAGCUACGUUGGUGCCAUACAAUGGAAGUAGUUCUAAAUCGUACUAGAGGCUUGAAAAAACUACGCAAUAUGCAUGUGUGUAAUCUCAAAAGUCUAGUUUGGUUCUGCUCACGGUAUAGUUCUUGGGACUUCAGUAGUGUAGAGCACCUGCACUUAGAGGACUGCCCAAGAUUGAAGCACGUGGUGCCACAUACAGCAACACUACCGCGUCUCAAGACACUUGACAUCUUGUUCUGCUGCAACCUCAAGACAAUUUUCAUCAGCAAUCAUACACAAGAGAAUACUUAUCAGCUCCCAAGCCUACAAAGAAUGCGUCUCCAGGAGUUGCCACUGCUCCAGCACUUCCACAGCAAGCACGCCACCAUCACAGCACCUGUGUGGAAGGAGCUCCACAUCCGAGGGUGCUGGAGCCUCCGACGCCUCCCACUCCUAGAAGGACGCCAGCCCGAGACAGUGAAGGUGAAUGGCGAGAGGAGCUGGUGGAGCAAGCUCCAGUGGGGAUUACCCCCGCACCGCGACGGCUACGACCCCAAGCUUCCCCCGGAGUUCGCCUCCUUCGAUGAGCGCGCCGAGAUGAGCAGCUACCUCAGAUGA